GGCGAGUGGCGAACGGGUGAGUAAUACAUCGGAACGUGCCCUGUAGUGGGGGAUAACUAGUCGAAAGAUUAGCUAAUACCGCAUACGACCUGAGGGUGAAAGUGGGGGACCGCAAGGCCUCAUGCUAUAGGAGCGGCCGAUGUCUGAUUAGCUAGUUGGUGAGGUAAAGGCUCACCAAGGCGACGAUCAGUAGCUGGUCUGAGAGGACGAUCAGCCACACUGGGACUGAGACACGGCCCAGACUCCUACGGGAGGCAGCAGUGGGGAAUUUUGGACAAUGGGCGAAAGCCUGAUCCAGCAAUGCCGCGUGUGUGAAGAAGGCCUUCGGGUUGUAAAGCACUUUUGUCCGGAAAGAAAUGGCUCUGGUUAAUACCUGGGGUCGAUGACGGUACCGGAAGAAUAAGGACCGGCUAACUACGUGCCAGCAGCCGCGGUAAUACGUAGGGUCCAAGCGUUAAUCGGAAUUACUGGGCGUAAAGCGUGCGCAGGCGGUUGUGCAAGACCGAUGUGAAAUCCCCGAGCUUAACUUGGGAAUUGCAUUGGUGACUGCACGGCUAGAGUGUGUCAGAGGGGGGUAGAAUUCCACGUGUAGCAGUGAAAUGCGUAGAGAUGUGGAGGAAUACCGAUGGCGAAG
This 634-nucleotide ribosomal RNA is filed under the name uncultured Ralstonia sp. RNAcentral's name for it is "bacterial SSU rRNA". It matches the Rfam family "Bacterial small subunit ribosomal RNA", at positions 90 to 720 of the family's 1533-position model. The record is from RNAcentral. Lineage: Bacteria; Pseudomonadati; Pseudomonadota; Betaproteobacteria; Burkholderiales; Burkholderiaceae.